RNAcentral lists this ribosomal RNA (301 nucleotides) under uncultured bacterium. RNAcentral describes it as "partial 16S ribosomal RNA". It matches the Rfam family "Bacterial small subunit ribosomal RNA", at positions 509 to 807 of the family's 1533-position model. The record is from RNAcentral.
CAGUAGCCGCGGGAACACGGAGGAUCCAAGCGUUAUCCGGAAUCAUUGGGUUUAAAGGGUCCGUAGGCGGUCUUGUAAGUCAGUGGUGAAAGCCCAUCGCUCAACGGUGGAACGGCCAUUGAUACUGCAGGACUUGAAUUAUUGGGAAGUAACUAGAAUAUGUAGUGUAGCGGUGAAAUGCUUAGAGAUUACAUGGAAUACCAAUUGCGAAGGCAGGUUACUACCAAUUGAUUGACGCUGAUGGACGAAAGCGUGGGUAGCGAACAGGAUUAGAUACCCGUGUAGUCCCUGUCUCUUAUAC